This is a long non-coding RNA of Stegastes partitus (bicolor damselfish), 207 nucleotides long. RefSeq lists it as uncharacterized. The record is from RefSeq and is a predicted model, not a curated record. Lineage: Eukaryota; Metazoa; Chordata; Actinopteri; Pomacentridae. The transcript has 2 exons.
GGCCUUCGCCCAGAGGAUCCCCUCACAUGUCCCACCGCGGAGCCAUCAAGAUCCAGCCCAGUAGACAGCAGCCGUCGUCGGGGAAGCCGAGUUAACCCUGGCUAAUCAAAAGACGUGUAUUUUCAUCCGUGCGGAUUAAUGACGGUGGUCUGGACGCCAGAGCCUGCGAGUGCUGUUUUUUUUUUUUUUUUCCAAAGAAAGAGACUG